GGAUGGUGUUUGUAACGCAUACACACCUGUGUAUAUGCACAUGUGCAUGAUAUCCAUCCAAUCGAACAUCCUGCCUCCAGUCCGCAUUAAGAUUCAGGAGGACAAGUGUGCCUGCUGUUACAACAAGCCUUAUUAUGAGACUAAUCUGAUAUUGCGGGGUUUGGCUGCACCGCGGUAGGUCACCGACCCACAGCUGUCCCUGUGGUUGAUGUUCUGAGCCUCUUCCUCUAUUGAAGGGACUCCCUUACCAUUGCGUGAAUACAAUCUUGUGUCACGAGUUGUGCUAUUGUAAUAAUUUGCAGGCCGCAGCGUUUGCAGCUUUUGCUCGCUGCCGCCGCCGAACGAACGGCAUUUCAUCAUUUUGCAUCAUAUCCGUAGGAUAGUUACAGCUCGAAGGACGGCGGAGCCGCACUAACAUGGUAUGAAACCUUGCAGAUGUGUCAUCGAUCGUCCGCCCCUCAGGUCAAGGUUUGGGUUUCAUGGACGGCCGGGAGCAGGGACGCCAUCAUCAGGGUAGAGCUCAGAAACUCAGGAUGGAACCGAGCGAAUGCAUAAUGAACUGCAAUUCAUAGAACACAUAUGUGUGUACCAGGUAAGCAUAUCCAUACAAUGCUCCGAGCCGGGGGGUGUUUUUCCAAGCAAGGUAAGGCGCAACAGCAACUAUCUUGAUGUCAAAAAUCUUACAGUCUGGUGAAGUUCUUGUGCUAGUAUGGCUUGACUGACGUUUUCCUUUCGCCUUUCCUUUUCUUCUUUCCUUUGCUAGGGUAAGGCGGUUCACGAGCCUUUGGUUCAUGACCAGAAACAAAAUGAAACAUGCUAUUUGCUCAAGUUCACGUUCGUUGACCCUGAGUAUGACUUAUCCAGAUCGCCCUAGGUGUGCCUGCAACGUUACCAUUCUUCUACAACCUUAGUUGUUGCGGACGAAAGCUCUCGCGAAACUUAACAAAAAAAUUAUUUUUACUUUUACAGAUAAACUGCGUUAUGACAUAACGAUAUCGUUUGCGAUAUCGUUUUCACAUAACG
RNAcentral lists this long non-coding RNA (1023 nucleotides) under Volvox carteri. RNAcentral's name for it is "long non-coding RNA (VCAR_LNC003320)". Lineage: Eukaryota; Viridiplantae; Chlorophyta; Chlorophyceae; Chlamydomonadales; Volvocaceae. The record is from RNAcentral.